Long non-coding RNA from Artibeus jamaicensis (Jamaican fruit-eating bat), 602 nucleotides. RefSeq lists it as uncharacterized. The record is from RefSeq and is a predicted model, not a curated record. The transcript is spliced from 3 exons. NCBI's taxonomy places the organism in Eukaryota, Metazoa, Chordata, Mammalia, Chiroptera, Phyllostomidae.
GAAUGCGCCUGUGUGCACACUGCCCAAGCAGCUCCCCGUGCCUGAAGACCCCGUGCAGUCCAGGUGCCCUGGUUUAUUUUCCCCGGGGGAUUGACGUUCUGUUCUGGGCUGUUUCUCCGCCCCUGCACUGCGCUGACAGACACGAGGGGCUGUGAAGGCUGCUGGGGGCCCAGAGUGACAGAUGAGACAGAAGAAAGGCAGCCCUAAGCCAAAGGCUUGGCCUGUUCUCAUUGUCCAAGGCUAGUCUCCAAAACGCCAGCUCUCGAAAGGAUCAGAGAUCAAUGUCCCCUCAUCUGACUUCUGAGUAAAUAAAUCUUCAAAAAGAGCUGUUGUGAAGAUAAGAAAAAUGAGGUAAGUAUGAAGUGUUCAUAAUAGUGGCCACUGUUGUAAAAUGCAGCUCCUGUCUCCGGUGCUCACUUUCACCUGUCCUAGGUGGGGGCCAAGUAGAGUAUUAUUGUCUCAGUUCUUUGGGGUAGAAAUGUGUACUGGAAAAAAAAAAGAAGAAAUGUGUACUGAAAUCUUCAGGGUCCUUUUGCUUUUUAAAAGUUGAUAGCCUCGGCCCUGGCUGGAUAGCUCAGUUGGUGAGAGUGCUGGCCUGUUAC